GAAAAAUAAUGAGGGGUGUCACGGGGUAUGACUAUAUAGGUCUUGUAGAGGAGAAACAGGCGCUUCUUUUGCGCUAGGUAUCGAAGGGCGCUAUGUUCAAAAAUCUGAAACUAGAGCUCAAAAUUUGAAAAAAAAUGUCAAAAAAUUAGGGGGGUCGGCCUAUUCCAGGGCUUCUAGAGAAAAAUAAUGAGGGGUGUCACGGGGAAUGACUAUAUAGGUCUUGUAGAGGAGAAA
This 234-nucleotide long non-coding RNA is filed under the name Mytilus galloprovincialis (Mediterranean mussel). The record is from RNAcentral. Lineage: Eukaryota; Metazoa; Mollusca; Bivalvia; Mytilida; Mytilidae.